Molecule: ribosomal RNA, 425 nt
Filed under: uncultured bacterium
Lineage: Bacteria
Description: bacterial SSU rRNA
Rfam family: Bacterial small subunit ribosomal RNA
Source: RNAcentral
UGGGGAAUCUUGCACAAUGGGGGCAACCCUGAUGCAGCGACGCCGCGUGAGCGAUGAAGCCCUUCGGGGUGUAAAGCUCUUUCGGCAGGGAAGAAUCAUGACGGUACCUGCAGAAGCAGCUGCGGCUAACUACGUGCCAGCAGCCGCGGUAAUACGUAGGCAGCGAGCGUUGUUCGGAGUUACUGGGCGUAAAGGGUGUGUAGGCGGCUCUCCAAGUUUGGUGUGAAAUCUCCCGGCUCAACCGGGAGGGUGCGCCGAAAACUGGAAGGCUAGAGUGCGGGAUGGGAGAGUGGAAUUCCUGGUGUAGCGGUGAAAUGCGUAGAUAUCAGGAGGAACACCGGUGGUGUAGACGGCUCUCUGGACCGUAACUGACGCUGAGACACGAAAGCGUGGGUAGCAAACAGGAUUAGAUACCCCCGUAGUCC